CAUCAACAUCGGCGGCCGCCAGUACAUCUACGUUCAACACAAUCUCAUCGAUCUCAAUUUCUUCAGAGUCAUUGCCUCCCACAACUGUUUUUUGUUUCUCUACAGACGUGGGUCUGUUCAUUAGCUUCGUUGGCUUCGCUGUUGUUGUUGGUCUGUUUGUUGGCUUCACGACACCGGGGGCAAGUUGCUGGACGAGUUGUAGCCUGAUCAAUGGCCAGUGGAGGUUGGGAACACUGCAAUCUCCGAUGCAUGGGUGUUGCCCUGAGCGUGGCCGCUGGGUUGCUUGGUGCUUGCAUGCCUGAGAUAGGUGCAAGGAUCUUUGCAAUCGGUGGGCCAUGUACUGAAGGACCUGGAAUGAUUAUUUCCAAGGAUUUGUCAGAGCCAGUUAGAUCGCAAAAGGAUCUUGACAAGGAUGCGGCUCCUCACUUGCAGAAAGCUGUCAAAUUUUACGAUGGUCUUGCCAAGCAGUUGGUCAGUCAAGGCCACAUGUUAGAUGUUUUCGCAUCUGCUCUUGAUCAGGUUUGCAUGGUUUAGCAAUUUAUGCUUUCGUUUGCAUCAAGGAUUUUUUUUGGUUGGGAUGAUUGAUUCUCCGUGUUCGUGGUGGGUGAGGUUGCUAUAGGUUAGUUCUUUCCUAGAGAAGGUUGCUACUCAGAUUAGCAGCAGUGUUGAUUUGUGAAUUUACAGGCAUGGUUUCAGAGAAUCCAAUGGUUUUCUUGAAUUUAUGGUGAGUGAUCGAUUAGUGAUCGAAUUGAUUCCAAAUCCUAAUCAAAAUUUGCCCGCUGCCUGCAGAUCAGAGAGGAUGAGAAUUGAUUUUCUGAGUGGUUAACGAGCCAUUAGCAUCACUCAUGGCACCUCUCAUGCAUAAAUGCUCUUGAUGCUUCUCUCUGGUGAGUAUUUGCUAAUCAUUGAUGAGACCAAAAAUGAAUUAACGAGGAUCUUGACUUGCAUAUGCAUACAGAUACUUAUAUGCCUCUUGUUUGAUGCAAGAAUAAACUCAGCUUUGCAAAAUAUUUCUUUUAGCAUUGUUAGUUGUUCAUGAAACUGCUUCAUAAUAAAAUCAUUUAUCUCCUUUUCCUCUUUAGGCACUUGAAGUAUUUUUUAUUUUUCUCAAUCAAUUAUGGAUGCAAGUCUUUGUAACACACUGAUCAGUGAAAUUUGUAGAUGCACCUGAUCGGUUGUCCGUUUGAAUAAAUUUUGUUAGGAAUUUUUUUGUGCCUCCUGUUCAAAGUGAUAGAUGAGUUUUUUAUUUUCCCCAUGCCACUAACCACAUAGCUGAAGUUCUUGAUAUUUUUGUUUGACUUAAACUAUAUCUGGUGCUUGAUGUAUAUAGUCCUGACCUCUGUAGAAAAAAAAAAGUGCACCUUGGUUUGCAGAUCAGCUAUGUUGCUGCUAGGUAUGUGAGGCUUGGAUACAGAUUGACAUUUUUAAGUAUGCUUCUUUGUCCCUUUUUCAUUUGCCUCAUUGCUAUUUAUGUGAAGCUUAAUUGACAUUUCAUAGCUUAAUUAUAGUUAUGAUUAUCCAUAUAGCAGAGAAAAACUAUGUUCACAUUUCUCAAUUUUGGAUCACAUUCCCCUUGAAGGUGAAAUCUGUUGUAAAUGCAAUACAAUGAAAAACAAAAUUAAAGAAUUUGUGAUUGCUCAUUUGCGCAUAGGUGCCUGUAAAUGGUUGUCCUGCAGAAGCUCUGUUAAACUAAAAGAUUCUAGAGGGUUGGAGAAAUGCCUCCUGGUUCUCAUACUGCUGACGAUGGGCUAUGUGGAGUUCAAGCUAAAGGGUGAAGCUGAAGGCAACGCAAUAUACCAGAACAAGACGCUUGAGAAAUGGGAUCGGUAGCAACAAGGACACGAGGGCUGGAGGGGAGGAGCAACCAGAUGGAGGCGCGCGGUCAAGCAAUCCCCUUCUGUUCAUGACCAAAGGCUAGGCGUCCGAACAAGCAAACUGAGCUGUAAAGGUGUCCGUUACUAGGUUCCUCGUGGGUUGAGCACUUGAGCCUGAUGAGGGCUCUUACCACUCCAUAGUCAACUUUUUUUUUUACAAUCUUUUAAGCAUUUUCUUUUGCAGCAACAAUAUCUUCCUUCCUUGCCCGUCUGGAGAUGUAACAAAAAUAGAAACUAUUUUAGCUCCCCAUACUUAACUGCGUGUAACUAUAUACAUUCAAAACUCAUAUAAACAAGUUAUGAAAAUAUUUAUGAUUGUAACUAGGAUGGAAAUAUUUGAAUUAA
Molecule: long non-coding RNA, 2219 nt
Organism: Panicum virgatum (switchgrass)
Lineage: Eukaryota; Viridiplantae; Streptophyta; Magnoliopsida; Poales; Poaceae
Exons: 4
Source: RefSeq, a predicted model, not a curated record